GCAAAACUUCAGGAGACAUCCCAAGCGGAGUUACAUCUCAUAUGAGAAAUAAAUUUAUACAUGUGUCUAAAGUAGACGAAGACCAUGGGAUGCUGGGGCUCACUGACCGUGAAGUCUGUGAAAAGUGGCGGAUCAGGGGAAAUCAAGCCUAUAAGGCUGGAAAUCUUUUGCAAGCUGAGGAUUUAUACACUAAGGGUAUCAAAUCAGUCUCUGCUACAGAAAUUUCAGGCUCUUGCCUGGAGCCUCUUUUGUUAUGCUACAGCAACCGAGCUGCCACUCGAAUGUCACUUAGAAGGAUGAGGGAAGCAAUCAGUGAUUGUGCAUCUGCAGCUGCCUUAGACCCUCACUUUCUAAAAGUAAAACUCAGAGCAGCAAAUUGUUAUCUGGUUCUUGGUGAGGUUGAAGAAGCA
RNAcentral lists this unclassified non-coding RNA (410 nucleotides) under Hevea brasiliensis (rubber tree). Lineage: Eukaryota; Viridiplantae; Streptophyta; Magnoliopsida; Malpighiales; Euphorbiaceae. The record is from RNAcentral.